Molecule: ribosomal RNA, 448 nt
Filed under: uncultured bacterium
Lineage: Bacteria
Description: bacterial SSU rRNA
Rfam family: Bacterial small subunit ribosomal RNA
Source: RNAcentral
CACCAGACUCCUACGGGAGGCAGCAGUGGGGAAUAUUGCACAAUGGGGGAAACCCUGAUGCAGCGACGCCGCGUGAGCGAUGAAGUAUUUCGGUAUGUAAAGCUCUAUCAGCAGGGAAGAAAAUGACGGUACCUGACUAAGAAGCCCCGGCUAACUACGUGCCAGCAGCCGCGGUAAUACGUAGGGGGCAAGCGUUAUCCGGAUUUACUGGGGGUAAAGGGAGCGUAGACGGUCCUGCAAGCCAGAUGUGAAAGCCCGGGGCUCAACCCCGGGACUGCAUUUGGAACUGUAAGGCUAGAGUGUCGGAGAGGCAGGCGGAAUUCCUAGUGUAGCGGUGAAAUGCGUAGAUAUCAGGAGGAACACCGGCGGCGAAGGCGGCCUGCUGGACCGCGACUGACGUUGAGGCUCGAAAGCUUGGGGAGCGAACAGGAUUAGAUACCCUAGUAAG